GCCUGGCUAGCUCAAUCAGUAGAGCAUGAAACUCUUAAUCCUGGGGUCGUGGGUUCGAGCCCCAUGUUGGGUG
This is a non-coding RNA of Danionella cerebrum, 73 nucleotides long. Lineage: Eukaryota; Metazoa; Chordata; Actinopteri; Cypriniformes; Danionidae. The record is from the annotation of a GenBank genome assembly.